This 772-nucleotide ribosomal RNA is filed under the name uncultured Neocallimastigales. RNAcentral's name for it is "partial large subunit ribosomal RNA". It matches the Rfam family "Eukaryotic large subunit ribosomal RNA", at positions 24 to 644 of the family's 3401-position model. Lineage: Eukaryota; Fungi; Neocallimastigomycota; Neocallimastigomycetes; Neocallimastigales. The record is from RNAcentral.
CACGCAUGACACACUGCAUAUCAAUAAGCGGAGGAAAAGAAACUAACAAGGAUUCCCCUAGUAACGGCGAGUGAAGCGGGAAGAGCUCAAAUUUGAAAUCUUAAAGGGUUUCCCUUUACGAAUUGUAGUUUAAAGAAGUGUUUUCUGUUGAGGUUUUGGUAAAAGUUCUUUGGAAUAGGACAUCAUAGAGGGUGAGAAUCCCGUAUUUGACCUUUACUUUCAACUUUGUGAUACACUUUCAAAGAGUCGGAUUGUUUGGGAAUGCAGUCCAAAAUGGGUGGUAAAUUUCAUCUAAAGCUAAAUAUUGGCGAGAGACCGAUAGCGAACAAGUACCGUGAGGGAAAGAUGAAAAGAACUUUGAAAAGAGAGUUAAACAGUACGUGAAAUUGUCAAAAGGGAAGCGUUUGACACCAGUGUUGUUUUUCUGAAAAUCAAUUAAAGAACUGUUUAUGCUAAGCUGUUUAGACUUUAUCAGCUAUCUGUUUAGUUUUGAGCUUUUCUUUAAUGCACUUUUCAGUUAACAAGUCAACAUCAAUUUCUUUUGCUGUAAAAAGCUUGAGGAAGGUGGCUUGAGAUUCGUCUUAAGUGUUUAUAGCCUCUUGCCUAUGCAGUCGGAGAGAUUGAGGUCUGCAGCGUAGAUCCUUCGGGGCUAAAUGCAUUUGUGCUAAGUUAUAGCAUUUUAUAGACAACUUGUUGACUAUGAUUUGUCUUGUAGCUUACUCGCUUAUGUUAUUUUACCUACGCUUAGGAUGUUGAAUCUGUGCGAGACUAC